UCCUCCUCAGGCUUGAAGAGAUUUCAGGAGCGGUGACUCUCAUCUGCUCGAAGAUGAGCCCACUGUGGACCUUCCUCUUCGUGCUGUCAGCUCCCAGCGGGGUCCUGUCCCAGGUGCAGCUGCAGGAGUCGGGACCCAGCCUGGUGAAGCCCUCACAGACCCUCUCCCUCACCUGCGCUGUCUCUGGAUUCUCACUAAGCAGCUAUGCUGUAGGCUGGGUCCGCCAGGCUCCAGGGAAGGCGCUGGAGUGGGUUGGUGCAAUAAGUAGUGGUGGAAGCACAUGCUAUAACCCAGCCCUGAAAUCCCGGCUCAGCAUCACCAGCGACACCUCCAAGAGCCAAGUCUCUCUCUCACUGAGCAGCAUGACACCUGAGGACACGGCCGUGUAUUACUGUGCAAAGGACACAGACAAGGGGCGACGUUCGUCUUCUGGCUACUUCCUGCUGAAUGGGGGCAACGUGGGGGUCAGGGCCGGUUGGGACGAAAGAGGCAGCCGGAGGUCUCGAGAGAGACUGGGGGUUACUCAGCCGAUUAGGACGUCUCCGGCACGAGCUGAGAACCGGGAGGAGGCACAGCUGCGGGAUGAGGGCCUGAUAAGUGCAGCUGGUGCGGUCGGGGCUGAGCUGAGGAAGCCUGGGGCAUCAGUGAAGGUCUCCUGCAUGGCUUCUGGAUACACCUUCAGCGACUACGACAUGCACUGGGGGUGA
Molecule: non-coding RNA, 707 nt
Organism: Dama dama (fallow deer)
Lineage: Eukaryota; Metazoa; Chordata; Mammalia; Artiodactyla; Cervidae
Source: the annotation of a RefSeq genome assembly